This is a long non-coding RNA of Bos indicus x Bos taurus (hybrid cattle), 1405 nucleotides long. Lineage: Eukaryota; Metazoa; Chordata; Mammalia; Artiodactyla; Bovidae. The record is from Ensembl.
AUGAGUCCUGCUCUCCUUUUCACAAGAAAUGAUGGUUAUCAGGAACAGACAUCCACCUCAGCCUGGGCCAAUCACAUUCUCUCCUGGAAAUCUGGAAUUGUUGUCAAAAGAUCAUCAGUUCAUUGCUACAUAUACAAUGGACCAGGAAUCCCAGCACUUUUACACCUUAACUUAGCAGCUGGCAAAAUGAAUGACCAAGGUGACCCCUCCCAGCAGAGCACAUGACCGACCACAGCUGUGCAUGUUUUUUAGCAUGACUGCACCAGGACAGGCACUGAGCCACUGGGUGGAGCAGUGCACUCUGGGGAGAAGGCUUAUGACAUUUCCCCUAUGAUUUCAGAAAAGAAAAAAACUUUUUCUUAGGAGUUGUUUCUGCUCAAUGACAAUAGAAAAUGGCAUAGUGUAUACAUAGGAGAAGGGGGUGACAGAGGAUGAGAUGGCUGGAUGCCAUCACUGACUUAAAAGACAUGAGUUUGGGAAACUCUGGGAGAUUGUGAAGGAUAGGGAAGCCUGGCGUGCUGCAGCCCAUGGGGUCCCAAAGAGUCCAACACAACUGAGCAGCUAAACAACAACAAAUAUAGAUACAGGGUAUCAGCCAUCCCACAGUGGAAGCCCUUUAAACAUCAAUAGUCCUAGGAGUGUGAAGGUGAGGCAGACAUUGUUAACUAGUUACUGCUCAACUUUCACUUCCUCUUUUCCCUUAAUGACAAAAUCCCAGUUUUAUUUGGGAUGACAAUGUAGACAGCCUCCCUUAGAAGGCUAGGUUCCAGCCCAUGUGAUGUAAAUAGAAGUGCUCUGGAACAUCCAAAUAGGCUGCUUAAAGGAAGAUGACUCCAUUAAAAAGUGUGUUCCUUUUGGCUUUUUUCCUUCCCUCCUUCCUCGGGAUGAAAGUCAUCUUGACCUUGAACUUGUGACCUUGAAGAUGGAAGCCACAGACCAGUAUGAGGGAGCAGGAUGAGAGAAGAGACAGGGUGCCAGAUGAUCAAAGAACAAAAAUACAAGCCCUUAGAUGCUCAGUUUCCAGCUGCUUUUGUGAGAGAAAAAUCAAACAAUAACCACAAAGGCCUCUGUGUUAUUUAAAUCAUUUUUUUUUUUUUUACAAAUUCAGUUUUGUUUUAUAUGUGGCCUAUAAUCUAUCCGAGCAAGAUAUGUUAGUUUGCUAGGGUAUAAGACUCUUGAGAGUCCCUUGGACAGUAAGAUCAAACCAGUCAAUCCUAAAGGAAAUCAUUGUCUGGUAUCUUUAGAGCCUUACUCUGUUGAAGUGAUUCUCAGCUAAACAUUAUGUCUGUUUUAACUGUGAUAAGUAUUUCCACUUUUGUUAUUUAUUAGUGGUAUCUUUUUUUGAAGUGUCAGAUGUUGUGACUAUUUAAAUAAAAUGUCAUUAUAAUUUAAAAAAAAAUCCUAA